Molecule: ribosomal RNA, 406 nt
Filed under: uncultured bacterium
Lineage: Bacteria
Description: bacterial SSU rRNA
Rfam family: Bacterial small subunit ribosomal RNA
Source: RNAcentral
UGGGGAAUUUUCCGCAAUGGGCGAAAGCCUGACGGAGCAACGCCGCGUGGAUGAUGAAGUCUUUCGGGACGUAAAAUCCUUUGAGCAGGGAAGAAGCGAGUGACGGUACCUGCAGAACAAGCAUCGGCUAACUACGUGCCAGCAGCCGCGGUAAUACGUAGGAUGCGAGCGUUGUCCGGAAUUAUUGGGCGUAAAGCGAACGUAGGCGGUCUUUUAAGAUUGGUCUUAAAGACUGGGGCUCAACCCCAGGAGUGGACUGAUAACUGGGAGACUGGAGGACGUCAGAGGAAAGUGGAAUUCCGAGUGUAGCGGUGAAAUGCGUAGAUAUUCGGAGGAACACCAGUGGCGAAAGCGACUUUCUGGGGCGUUCCUGACGCUGAGGUUCGAAAGCUCGGGGAGCAAACAG